GUAAUGUGAGAAUGUUCUUUCUCACAUUAUUUCUAGUAGAAAUACCCUGAGAACACUGUUGUUUGUGAUAUUUCUACAAAAUGUUCUUGGAGAUUGGAUGUGACUAAAUUUGCCUUUGUAAUCAUGUUUUUUUUUCUUUCUUCCAGCUGAAAUUUGGGCAGCAUCUAAUGUUCCUCUAUUUUAAACAUUUCUUUUAUCAUUAAGCUUUGUCCAGAUUUGUGCCAAAUGAAGCCUUUAGCUGAAAUGGCUGAUUUGUUUCUUUUGUGCCCUAAGACCUAUCCAAACUGAAUCAGAGGUUAAGAAACCAGAUUAAACUCCACAGCAAUUACAGUAUUUAUAGGAUUUUCUUCUGAGAUGAAGUUGUUUCGACUGCCCUUUCUGUUUCAAUGUGGACCCACAAUGGGGUUGAAUAAAACUGUGGAGGAGUAGAGACCUGGAAAACAAAGACCACAUACUGUAAAAAAGCCAUUCUAAUUAAAUCAGAAUGAAAACAGAAGAAUGCCUUUGCUUUCAGAGAAACAAGUGACCUAGAGAACCUUAUGACUUGGCAGUCUACACAUUUCUUUUUGAAAGACAACUCACAUCUUUUAAAGGAAAUAAAUCCUGGAAAAAAUAUAAGAUGUGUCAAGCCAAUCAGCUAUUUAUGCCAUUUCCUCCGAUCCUGAUGUUGCCUUCAUGAAUUAUGCACUUUCAGCUGCCACUACUCACAUAUGUGGGCCCUUGUGGCAUGUUUCCCAGGACCAGCAUGUGAUUACAGAUCAUAAAAAAUGAACAUACACAUUGCUCCUUCACUAAAGGCAGAGAUGCACAGUUGCAAAUGCUCCAUGUUAGAAAUGUCUCUUCUAUUUGAAAAAUAGCAGCUGUUAUUAAAAACAUCCAUAGGUAGAAUAGCUGAAGCCGUGAAAACAAAUCACCAUAAAGAAUUAAGAAACAGAUGCCCCUGAAGAAUGGAAUAGGUAAAGUAGCCACUAAGAGUUUUCCCAUAGCCAGAAGGUGGUGCUGCAUUGUAAUGUAGUCACAGGGGGUCAGGUUUGCAUCUUUGAUAACUUAUGCUGUUUGAUUCACCUUUAAAAAGUGAAAGAGUAGAAGAGAUUAAAUCAUCACAACUGCACUCUGGAGUAGUAUUUAGCAGAGGUAAAAUGAAGCAUAGAAUUUAGUUACUUAUCUAUUAAUAGCCUGUGGUUGUGCUGGUGUGAGACUGGGUCUUUUAGUAGAAGCUUUAAGUUCUCUGUCUAUUUCUUUUUUGCUGGUUUUAUUAAACUCUCCUGCUUUCUUAACUCUUCUGUUUCAUCUCAGGACACUGAACAACACAGAAGAUACAGUCAACCACCUUGUGAUGUGUUUCCUUGAAAAAAUGUUUCUUCUGGUAACAUAUUGCAUAAUUUUAGCAAAGAAACUUUGAGCUUUUUCCUUUUGUUGAAUAGAAGUUGAGAUAUUCAGCUCCAGGUAGACACUGUUGACGUCGAUGAAACUCUGCAAGGCUGUGCCAGGUGAGGUGGUGCAAAUUCCUUCUUUAACAGAAGGAGAGCAGAGCUGCUGUCACAUCGUGUGUCUGCACAGAGGAGAGUGGUGCUGUGCACAGGAUCCCAGGGAUUCAGCUCAGCAAGGGAAUGAAUCUGGAGGUUAAAAUUUUCCAUGGAUUAAAGGAGAGACGCUGUCACCUUAGCUGGCUGAAGGCUCACAGGCACCCCAGCAGUCUUGGUGUGUGGAGAAGCAGCUCCCUGUGAGCAAAUGCAGAAACACAGGUAAAGUUGAGUCACUUGUCUGAGACAGCAGCAAGACAAAGCAUCAUAGGGAAAGAGGUGGAAAGGCAAUGUCAUGGCACAGAAAAGUGUGUAAAAACAUUUGCAGAA
Molecule: long non-coding RNA, 1853 nt
Organism: Passer domesticus (house sparrow)
Lineage: Eukaryota; Metazoa; Chordata; Aves; Passeriformes; Passeridae
Exons: 3
Source: RefSeq, a predicted model, not a curated record